This 527-nucleotide ribosomal RNA is filed under the name uncultured bacterium. RNAcentral describes it as "bacterial SSU rRNA". It matches the Rfam family "Bacterial small subunit ribosomal RNA", at positions 29 to 601 of the family's 1533-position model. The record is from RNAcentral.
AAGUACGCUGGCGGCACGCCUAACACAUGCAAGUCGAACGAAGUAGCAAUACUUAGUGGCAGACGGGUGAGUAACAUGUAGGUAUCUGCCCUUUGGCCUGGAAUAACACGAGGAAACUUGUGCUAAUACCGGAUAAGUCUUUACGGAGAAAGCUUUAUGCACCAUUGGAUGAGCCUGCACUUGAUUAGUUUGUUGGUGGGGUAAUGGCCUACCAAGACUGUGAUCAAUAGCUGAUUUGAGAGGAUGAUCAGCCACAUUGGGACUGAGACACGGCCCAAACUCCUACGGGAGGCAGCAGUGGGGAAUCUUGCACAAUGGAGGAAACUCUGAUGCAGCGAUGCCGCGUGAGUGAAGAAGGCCUUUGGGUUGUAAAGCUCUUUCGUCGGGGAAGAAAAUGACUGUACCCGAAUAAGAAGGUCCGGCUAACUUCGUGCCAGCAGCCGCGGUAAUACGAAGGGACCUAGCGUAGUUCGGAAUUACUGGGCUUAAAGAGUUCGUAGGUGGUUGAAAAAGUUGGUGGUGAAAUC